This 459-nucleotide ribosomal RNA is filed under the name uncultured bacterium. RNAcentral's name for it is "partial 16S ribosomal RNA". It matches the Rfam family "Bacterial small subunit ribosomal RNA", at positions 338 to 795 of the family's 1533-position model. The record is from RNAcentral.
CCUACGGGAGGCAGCAGUGAGGAAUAUUGGUCAAUGGCCGGAAGGCUGAACCAGCCAAGCCGCGUGAGGGAGGAAGGCGCAGAGCGUCGCAGACCUCUUUUGCCGGGGGACAAAAGGCCGGACUCGUCAGGUCCUGAGUUUACCCGGAGAAAAAGCAUCGGCUAACUCCGUGCCAGCAGCCGCGGUAAUAGGGGGGAUGCGAGCGUUAUCCGGAUUCAGUGUGUUUAACGGGUGCGCAGGGGGGCCUUUAAGCCGGCGGUGAAAUCGCGGGGCUAAACCCCGCCGAGCCGUCGGAACGGGGGGCCGUGAGUGCGGCGGAGGCAUGCGGAAUGCGCGGUGUAGCGGUGAAAUGCAUAGAUAUCGCGCAGAACCCCGAUUGCGAAGGCAGCGUGCCGUGCCGCCACUGACGCUGAGGCACGAAAGCGGGGGGAUCGAACAGGAUUAGAUACCCGAGUAGUC